UGGGGAAUAUUGCACAAUGGGCGAAAGCCUGAUGCAGCAACGCCGCGUGAGUGAUGAAGGUCUUCGGAUUGUAAAGCUCUGUCUUUUGGGACGAUAAUGGCGGUACCAAAGGAGGAAGCCACGGCUAACUACGUGCCAGCAGCCGCGGUAAUACGUAGGUGGCGAGCGUUGUCCGGAUUUACUGGGCGUAAAGGGUGCGUAGGCGGAUGUUUAAGUGAGAUGUGAAAUACCCGGGCUUAACUUGGGUGCUGCAUUUCAAACUGGAUAUCUAGAGUGCAGGAGAGGAGAAUGGAAUUCCUAGUGUAGCGGUGAAAUGCGUAGAGAUUAGGAAGAACACCAGUGGCGAAGGCGAUUCUCUGGACUGUAACUGACGCUGAGGCACGAAAGCGUGGGUAGCAAACAGGAUUAGAUACCCUGGUAGUCCACGCCGUAAACGAUGAGUACUAGGUGUAGGAGGUAUCGACCCCUUCUGUGCCGCAGUAAACACAUUAAGU
Molecule: ribosomal RNA, 494 nt
Filed under: uncultured bacterium
Lineage: Bacteria
Description: partial 16S ribosomal RNA
Rfam family: Bacterial small subunit ribosomal RNA
Source: RNAcentral